Molecule: ribosomal RNA, 200 nt
Filed under: uncultured bacterium
Lineage: Bacteria
Description: partial 16S ribosomal RNA
Rfam family: Bacterial small subunit ribosomal RNA
Source: RNAcentral
AGAGUUUGAUCCUGGCUCAGAUUGAACGCUGGCGGCAUGCCUUACACAUGCAAGUCGAACGAGUGUAGCAAUACAUUCGUGGCGAACGGGUGCGUAACACGUGGAUAACCUUCCUUGAGGUGGGGAAUAACCCAGUGAAAAUUGGGCUAAUACCGCAUAACACGACGGGGGCACAUGCUUUUGUCGUCAAAGGAGCAAUU